This 267-nucleotide unclassified non-coding RNA is filed under the name Hevea brasiliensis (rubber tree). Lineage: Eukaryota; Viridiplantae; Streptophyta; Magnoliopsida; Malpighiales; Euphorbiaceae. The record is from RNAcentral.
GCGAUAUCAAGCUUCAGGAAACAAGUUGUGCUGGUGAGUCUAUUCUAUGUUUUGGCAUUAGGCUUGCUGCUGUGUUUCUCAAGCAAGGCAGAUGGUGCAGUGCAUUGGUAGCUGGAAAAGUCCUGCAACAUUUGAUUGUAAAUUCCUUUUUCUUCUUGUUUUCGUUGGUUUUAUGUUAGUUUAAGUUUACAUUGUGGAAUAAUUACUGAUUACGGUGAUAUUCAAUGGACACAAUAAUAGAUGGUGUAUAUUUGAGAUAGCUUCCAG